GCCUCAGUAACGGCGAGUGAAGCGGCAAAAGCUCAAAUUUGAAAUCUGGCACUUUCAGUGUCCGAGUUGUAAUUUGUAGAAGUAGUUUUGGGACUGGUCCUUAUCUAUGUUUCUUGGAACAGGACGUCAUAGAGGGUGAGAACCCCGUAUGAUGAGGCCCCCAGUCCUUUGUAAAACGCUUUCGAAGAGUCGAGUUGUUUGGGAAUGCAGCUCUAAGUGGGUGGUAAAUUCCAUCUAAAGCUAAAUAUUGGCGAGAGACCGAUAGCGAACAAGUACAGUGAUGGAAAGAUGAAAAGAACUUUGAAAAGAGAGUGAAAAAGUACGUGAAAUUGUUGAAAGGGAAGGGCAUUUGAUCAGACAUGGUGUUUUGCGCCCUUUGCUCCUUGUGGGCGGAGGAUACGCAGCUCACUGGGCCAACAUCAGUUUUGGGAGCAGGAUAAAUCUGUAGGAACGUAGCUUUCUUCGGGAAGUGUUAUAGCCUAUGGGAAUACUGCUACCUGGGACUGAGGACUGCGUCUUUUGACAAGGAUGUUGGCAUAAUGGUUAAAUGCCGCCCGUCUUGAAACAUGGACCAAGGAGUCUAACGUCUAUGCGAG
RNAcentral lists this ribosomal RNA (596 nucleotides) under Hanseniaspora occidentalis var. occidentalis. Its description in RNAcentral is "LSU rRNA". It matches the Rfam family "Eukaryotic large subunit ribosomal RNA", at positions 77 to 690 of the family's 3401-position model. The record is from RNAcentral. Lineage: Eukaryota; Fungi; Ascomycota; Saccharomycetes; Saccharomycodales; Saccharomycodaceae.